This 253-nucleotide ribosomal RNA is filed under the name uncultured bacterium. RNAcentral's name for it is "partial 16S ribosomal RNA". It matches the Rfam family "Bacterial small subunit ribosomal RNA", at positions 524 to 776 of the family's 1533-position model. The record is from RNAcentral.
UACGGGGGGGGCAGGCGUUGUUCGGAAUUACUGGGCGUAAAGGGCGCGUAGGCUGUUUGCUAAGUUGGAUGUGAAAACUCUGGGCUUAACCCAGAGCCUGCAUCCAAAACUGGCAGGCUGGAGUUUUGGAGGGGGAAGCGGAAUUCCUGGUGUAGCAGUGAAAUGCGUAGAUAUCAGGAGAAACACCGGUGGCGAAGGCGGCUUCCUGGACAAAAACUGACGCUGAGGCGCGAAAGCUAGGGGAGCAAACAGG